UUGCCUACGGGUGGCUGCAGUAGGGAAUAUUGCUUAAUGGGCGAAAGCCUGAAGCAGCAACGCCGCGUGUACGAUGAAGGCCUUCGGGUUGUAAAGUACUUUUGCAGGGGAUGAGGAAGGACAGUACCCUGAGAAUAAGUCUCGGCUAACUACGUGCCAGCAGCCGCGGUAAAACGUAGGAGACGAGCGUUAUCCGGAUUUACUGGGCGUAAAGCGCGUGCAGGCGGCACGGAAAGUUGGAUGUGAAAGCUCCCGGCUUAACUGGGAGAGGUCGUUCAAAACUACCGAGCUAGAGUAUGGGAGAGGGAAGCGGAAUUCCGGGUGUAGUGGUGAAAUGCGUAGAUAUCCGGAGGAACACCAGUGGCGAAAGCGGCUUCCUGGCCCGAGACUGACGCUCAGACGCGAAAGCUAGGGUAGCAAACGGGAUUAGAUACCCAGUAGUCU
RNAcentral lists this ribosomal RNA (444 nucleotides) under uncultured Anaerolineaceae bacterium. RNAcentral's name for it is "bacterial SSU rRNA". It matches the Rfam family "Bacterial small subunit ribosomal RNA", at positions 335 to 796 of the family's 1533-position model. The record is from RNAcentral. Lineage: Bacteria; Bacillati; Chloroflexota; Anaerolineae; Anaerolineales; Anaerolineaceae.